This 489-nucleotide ribosomal RNA is filed under the name Triticum aestivum (bread wheat). Its description in RNAcentral is "partial small subunit ribosomal RNA". Lineage: Eukaryota; Viridiplantae; Streptophyta; Magnoliopsida; Poales; Poaceae. The record is from RNAcentral.
AUGGCGACGCCGGCCCGCCGGGCGUCGGCGCAGCCGCAGCCGCUGACGGUGGACUUCGAGGCGCUGAGCUACAUCAGCAGGCUCGUGGAGGCGUUCCAGGCGUUCGACUCGGACAGCGACGGCCUCGUCACGGCCCCCGAGCUCCGGGGCCUCCUGGCCUCCCUGGGCCUGGACAAGUCGGAGGCCGAGGCGCGGGACAUGCUGGCGCGCGCCGACGCCGACCGUGACGGCCGGCUCUGCGUGGAUGCCAUUUUAGACGUGAUGAACGCCGGCGAGCUCGGCCUGGGCGCGCUCGGCGCGCUGCUGCAGGCCGCCGUCCCGGCGCUGGAGUCCUUCGCGGGCCCCGACGAGCUCGCCACGGUGCUGGGGCUCAUGGGCACCGCCAGCGCCGAGGACUGCGCGGAGAUCAUCGCGUGCAUGGACGGGGACGGGGACGGCGACGGCGCCAUCAGCGUCGAGGAGUUCAAGCUCAUGGCUGACCUGCUCUAG